AUCCCUCAAUGGCUGGAGAACCAGGGAAACAGUACCUGCUCAAUCGUAGAAGCUGGCAGUGUGAGAACAAGAGAGACCAAUGGUGCAGCCCCAGUUUGAGGCUGACAGCCUGGGACCUACCUGGAGAGUUGCUGGUGGUGUGAGUCUGAGUUUGGAGGCUGGAGAAUCUGCAGUCGAAUGACAGGGGUGGGGGUGAUGCAACAGCGAAAAACAGCCUUCAAGGAGGCGAGCUCCCUCCUCCUGCUUUCCAUUCCACGCCGACCCCAGCCUAUUGGACGGUGCCGCCCACAUUCUGCUCAAGGACCCCUGUGCCAAUCUUCUCUGGGAACACCCUCAAAGACUCACCCAGAAAUGUGACCUACAAUUUUCUAGGCAUCUCUCAGUCCAGGCGGGUGACAACCAAGAGAAAUCAUCACAAAAAUGGCUUCUUAACUCUCAGAAGGACGCUGCAGUCCAGGCACCUCACUUUGUGUCCUGACAGCUUGAGAGAUGUUCACUUAUUUAAACCUUCAAACAUACCAUCAAGUAUCAUUACAAGCGAGAAACCCCCAACCUGUUAGAUGCGCUGAGUUCGUGUUUCAGGAUCCUGAAGAAUGGACUCAAGGACAAAGGAGGUGAACAGUAGGAAGAGUUUUAUCAAGGGAAAGUUUGUGAGAGACAGGAGG
RNAcentral lists this long non-coding RNA (665 nucleotides) under Fukomys damarensis (Damara mole-rat). RNAcentral describes it as "lncRNA (ENSFDAG00000025618.1)". The record is from RNAcentral. Lineage: Eukaryota; Metazoa; Chordata; Mammalia; Rodentia; Bathyergidae.